AUCAAAUUUAAUCUCCGAGCCGUUUUCCUAAGUCCUCGCUUACGGGAGAUGGAGAUCGGCCGACAGGGCAUGGUUGGAAACGGCCAUGCCUCCCGUGUUUGGAAAGGAGAUAAGAAAUAGGUCUU
This 125-nucleotide non-coding RNA is filed under the name Deltaproteobacteria bacterium. RNAcentral's name for it is "MoCo sequence". It matches the Rfam family "Molybdenum/Tungsten riboswitch aptamer (Moco RNA motif)". The record is from RNAcentral. Lineage: Bacteria; Pseudomonadati; Myxococcota; Myxococcia.